RNAcentral lists this ribosomal RNA (399 nucleotides) under uncultured bacterium. RNAcentral's name for it is "bacterial SSU rRNA". It matches the Rfam family "Bacterial small subunit ribosomal RNA", at positions 29 to 429 of the family's 1533-position model. The record is from RNAcentral.
AUUGACGCCGGCGGCAUGCUUUACACAUGCAAGUCGAACGGUAACGGGGACUUCGGUCUGCCGACGAGUGGCGAACGGGUGAGUAAUAUAUCGGAACGUGCCCCAGUAAUGGGGGAUAGCUCGGCGAAAGCCGGAUUAAUACCGCAUACGCCCCUGAGGGGGGAAAGUGGGGGAUCGUUCGGACCUCACGUUAUUGGAGCGGCCGAUAUCAGAUUAGCUAGUUGGUGAGGUAAAGGCUCACCAAGGCGACGAUCUGUAGCGGGUCUGAGAGGAUGAUCCGCCACACUGGGACUGAGACACGGCCCAGACUCCUACGGGAGGCAGCAGUGGGGAAUUUUGGACAAUGGGCGCAAGCCUGAUCCAGCCAUGCCGCGUGAGUGAAGAAGGCCUCGGUGUAAG